UACAGAGGGUGCAAGCGUUGUUCGGAAUUAUUGGGCGUAAAGGGCGCGUAGGCGGUGCUGUAAGUCUGUAGUGAAAUCUCUGGGCUCAACUCAGAGUCUGCUAUAGAAACUGCAGUGCUGGAGUGUGGGAGAGGUGAGUGGAAUUCCCGGUGUAGCGGUGAAAUGCGUAGAUAUCAGGAGGAACACCGGUGGCGAAGGCGGG
Molecule: ribosomal RNA, 202 nt
Filed under: uncultured bacterium
Lineage: Bacteria
Description: partial 16S ribosomal RNA
Rfam family: Bacterial small subunit ribosomal RNA
Source: RNAcentral